GACGAACGCUGGCGGCGUGCUUAACACAUGCAAGUCGAACGGAAAGGCCCUGCUUGCAGGGUACUCGAGUGGCGAACGGGUGAGUAACAUGUGGGAGCUCUGCCCUGCAUUUCGGGAUAAGCCUGGGAAACUGGGUCUAAUCCCGGAUAGGAGCCAUUUUUAGUGUGAUGGUUGGAAAGUUUUUUCGGUGUAGGAUGAGCUCGCGGCCUAUCAGCUUGUUGGUGGGGUAAUGGCCUACCAAGGCGGCGACGGGUAGCCGGCCUGAGAGGGUGGACGGCCACAUUGGGACUGAGAUACGGCCCAGACUCCUACGGGAGGCAGCAGUGGGGAAUAUUGCACAAUGGGCGCAAGCCUGAUGCAGCGACGCCGCGUGGGGGAUGACGGCCUUCGGGUUGUAAACUCCUUUCGCUAGGGACGAAGCUUUUUGUGACGGUACCUAGAGAAGAAGCACCGGCUAACUACGUG
Molecule: ribosomal RNA, 465 nt
Filed under: uncultured bacterium
Lineage: Bacteria
Description: partial 16S ribosomal RNA
Rfam family: Bacterial small subunit ribosomal RNA
Source: RNAcentral